GUAGGUGAACCUGCGGUAGGAUCAUUGUUGGUUCCGAGCCACGAACUGUGUAGGGGAGGAGGCGCGCUCGACAUGGUCGGGACUCGUAGCCUCCCCGACCCCCGCUCUCGUCGGCGUGUGGACUGGAGGGCCUGUUGACUUGUCGUGCAUCUAUCUCGCGAUUCUCUCCGGAUGGAUGCCGCGGCGGGCCUCGCGCCUCUGUAAGUCAUUCGCUUGCGGUUCGGGGUACGAUUCAAGGGCGUGACGGAGUGUGCCGCUGCACUCCUCGACAGCGCCCGCGGCGGCCGGUGGACUCCUCGGGGAGUCUGCGAGGCACAGCUGCAACCCCCCGUUGCGUCGACGAAGGGAGCAAUGCCGUGUAAAGGAGGUGUUGGUGGUGCGGACGGGCGCACUCGCGCAAGCCGCGGGGCAGGACCUCUCGUCGUCGUCCCCCUUCCCUCUUUGACGGCAUGUGUCCUUCGGAUGUUGCGGGGCGGGGACAUCUCCCGUCUCACGUGCCACCCAUGAGGCAUCGCUUCUGGACCCCGGUGGCAAUUGCGGGACGGGCAGUGUGUCACAAACACUUAACACUGCGGUGCAGUUCGCACCAAGGAUUGAAAGAUAGCCGCGCGAGCCGCACGCCGUGUGCGUGCGGGAUUGCCGGCGCCAUGAGAACACGACUCUCGGCAACGGAUAUCUCGGCUCUCGCCACGAUGAAGAAUGUAGCGAAAUGCGAUACUUAGUGUGAAUUGCAGAAUCCCGUGAAUCAUCGAGUCUUUGAACGCAAGUUGCGCCCGAGGCUUCGGCCGAGGGCACGUCUGCUUGGGCGUCGCACUCCUAAAUCGCCCUCCCCCCUGCGGCCUUGGGCGGGAGGAGUGGAUGUGGCCGUCCGUCCCCCAACAGCGGUGCGGUCGGCUUAAACAGGCACGGCGUCCGUCGCCCAUGUCACGACGAGCGGUGGCCCAAGCGGGUCGGCGUUAGUUUUGUGCCGGGCGGGUGCGGCUAUGUGCGGAACUUUAUCUGGGAGCGGGCGGCUUUGCAUGCGUGCGGGUCAGCCUGUUUGCCUUCCGCGUCCCC
This 1056-nucleotide ribosomal RNA is filed under the name Amentotaxus yunnanensis. RNAcentral's name for it is "eukaryotic LSU rRNA". The stretch from base 658 to 811 matches the Rfam family "5.8S ribosomal RNA". The record is from RNAcentral. Lineage: Eukaryota; Viridiplantae; Streptophyta; Pinopsida; Cupressales; Taxaceae.